UACGUAGGGGGCUAGCGUUGUCCGGAUUUAUUGGGCGUAAAGAGCGUGUAGGCGGCCAGGUAGGUCUGCUGUGAAAACUCGAGGCUCAACCUCGAGACGUCGGCGGAAACCAUCUGGCUAGAGUCCGGAAGAGGAGAGUGGAAUUCCUGGUGUAGCGGUGAAAUGCGCAGAUAUCAGGAGGAACACCGGUGGUGUAGACGGCUUUCUGGACCGUAACUGACGCUGAGACACGAAAGCGUGGGUAGCAAACAGG
RNAcentral lists this ribosomal RNA (253 nucleotides) under uncultured bacterium. Its description in RNAcentral is "partial 16S ribosomal RNA". It matches the Rfam family "Bacterial small subunit ribosomal RNA", at positions 524 to 776 of the family's 1533-position model. The record is from RNAcentral.